RNAcentral lists this ribosomal RNA (253 nucleotides) under uncultured bacterium. RNAcentral's name for it is "partial 16S ribosomal RNA". It matches the Rfam family "Bacterial small subunit ribosomal RNA", at positions 524 to 776 of the family's 1533-position model. The record is from RNAcentral.
UACGUAGGGUGCGAGCGUUAAUCGGAAUUACUGGGCGUAAAGCGUGCGCAGGCGGUGAUGUCAGACAGAUGUGAAAUCCCCGGGCUCAACCUGGGAACUGCAUUUGUGACUGCAUCGCUGGAGUGCGGCAGAGGGGGAUGGAAUUCCGCGUGUAGCAGUGAAAUGCGUAGAUAUGCGGAGGAACACCGAUGGCGAAGGCAAUCCCCUGGGCCUGCACUGACGCUCAUGCACGAAAGCGUGGGGAGCAAACAGG